Molecule: ribosomal RNA, 875 nt
Filed under: uncultured Prevotella sp.
Lineage: Bacteria; Pseudomonadati; Bacteroidota; Bacteroidia; Bacteroidales; Prevotellaceae
Description: bacterial SSU rRNA
Rfam family: Bacterial small subunit ribosomal RNA
Source: RNAcentral
CAGCGCAUACUGGUUUCCUUGAGUACGCACAACGUUGGCGGAAUUCGUCGUGUAGCGGUGAAAUGCUUAGAUAUGACGAAGGACUCCGAUUGCGAAGGCAGCUGACGGGAGCGCAACUGACGCUUAAGCUCGAAGGUGCGGGUAUCAAACAGGAUUAGAUACCCUGGUAGUCCGCACAGUAAACGAUGGAUGCCCGCUGUUGGUACCUGGUAUCAGCGGCUAAGCGAAAGCAUUAAGCAUCCCACCUGGGGAGUACGCCGGCAACGGUGAAACUCAAAGGAAUUGACGGGGGCCCGCACAAGCGGAGGAACAUGUGGUUUAAUUCGAUGAUACGCGAGGAACCUUACCCGGGCUUGAAUUGCAGAGGAAGGAUUUAGAGAUAAUGACGCCCUUCGGGGUCUCUGUGAAGGUGCUGCAUGGUUGUCGUCAGCUCGUGCCGUGAGGUGUCGGCUUAAGUGCCAUAACGAGCGCAACCCCUCUCUUCAGUUGCCAUCAGGUAGUGCUGGGCACUCUGGAGACACUGCCACCGUAAGGUGUGAGGAAGGUGGGGAUGACGUCAAAUCAGCACGGCCCUUACGUCCGGGGCUACACACGUGUUACAAUGGCCGGUACAGAGGGAUGGUGUAAUGCAAAUUGCAUCAAAUCUUGAAAGCCGGUCCCAGUUCGGACUGGGGUCUGCAACCCGACCCCACGAAGCUGGAUUCGCUAGUAAUCGCGCAUCAGCCAUGGCGCGGUGAAUACGUUCCCGGGCCUUGUACACACCGCCCGUCAAGCCAUGAAAGCCGGGGGUGCCUGAAGUCCGUGACCGCAAGGAUCGGCCUAGGGCAAAACUGGUGAUUGGGGCUAAGUCGUAACAAGGUAGCCGUACCGGAAGG